This 18-nucleotide non-coding RNA is filed under the name Gallus gallus (chicken). RNAcentral also lists the same sequence under 1 other name. The record is from RNAcentral. Lineage: Eukaryota; Metazoa; Chordata; Aves; Galliformes; Phasianidae.
CGGCGGGAGCCCCGGGGA